RNAcentral lists this ribosomal RNA (219 nucleotides) under uncultured bacterium. Its description in RNAcentral is "partial 16S ribosomal RNA". It matches the Rfam family "Bacterial small subunit ribosomal RNA", at positions 524 to 740 of the family's 1533-position model. The record is from RNAcentral.
UACGGAGGGUGCGAGCGUUGUCCGGAAUCACUGGGCGUAAAGGGCGCGUAGGCGGCGCGGGUAGUCAUCGGUGAAAGUUCAGGGCUCAACUCUGAAUCGGCCGGUGAUACUCCCGUGCUCGAGCACUGUAGAGGCAGGUGGAAUUCCGGGGUGUAGCGGUGGAAUGCGUAGAGAUCCGGAAGAACACCGGUGGCGAAGGCGGCCUGACUGGGGCAGUGC